This 1082-nucleotide long non-coding RNA is filed under the name Carassius auratus (goldfish). RNAcentral's name for it is "lncRNA (ENSCARG00000052485.1)". Lineage: Eukaryota; Metazoa; Chordata; Actinopteri; Cypriniformes; Cyprinidae. The record is from RNAcentral.
AUGUGGCGUGAGAUUCUGCUCAGAUGUGCUCAGAAGUUUUUUUUUUUUUGUGGUCUGCAGGGCUCCAUUGGUCAGACUGGUCCAGCUGGUCCUCCAGGAUUACCAGGAGAGGGCAUUCAAGGACCAAAGGGUGAUCCUGGAUAUCAGGGUAUACAGGGGCCAAGAGGGUUUCCCGGAGAGGGUCUUCUGGGCCAGAAGGUGAGGAGAGUCAUAUAGCAAGCAUUACAUGAAUCCUUCACACAAUUACAUUUACUCACCGUCAUGUCAUGCCAUACCUGUAAGAGUUUUCUUCCAUCAAAUACUGUACAAAAUGAGAUGUUAGCUGCUCUUUUCCACCGAACUGGUGUUUUAUACUGCACUAACAUACAGUAUAUGCACCUGUAUGAAAUCCCCAAAAUACUGCAUCACGUCAAGUUUGAAAACAUGACCACAAUUGUGAAUUUCAGCUCUGUAAUGUAGCUACUGUAUACUAGGGCAAUCGUGGGUUUCCAGGAGCACACGGACGUAAAGGAGACAGAGGAAGCCAGGGAGAACCAGGAUCUACAGGACCACACGUGAGAAGAACCGAGAAGGAAAAUUUGAUCGUCAAGCCUUCACGCGAGACUUGCUUUUGAAUCAUAAAGCAUUAUUAUGAUAGCUGACAAUGCCAAUUUCAUUCCAAGCAUCGCUUAAUACAUGCAUCUCUACAUUAUUUAACUAUAUUUAACACACUGAACACUGUGUUUUAUAAUCGCAGGGUAAUACGGGAACGAAAGGAGAACCUGGUCUCACAGUACGUACCCAGAUGUCAAUAAAGAAUUCAUUUUGGACCUUUGUUUAAGUAAUUUGUUCCAGUGUAAAACAAGUAUUGUAUUAUGCUGUUGUUGCAUAACCUCAUGCCAGCUGUAAAUAGAAAACUAUUUAGCAUUUUUAUCCCAUUUUUGAGUAAAAUUUUUAUUUUUGUGUCCAGUGCAUUGCAUUAUGGGAUAUAGUAAUCCACACAUGGCUUAUGGCUCAUUUUGGUCAUCUGCAAAUUGGUGUAUGAUUGACUUAUAAUUAUUUGUGAAAUUUACUAGCAAUUUCAAAGUGAAUUUCAAUUUCUG